GCCGGAAUAGCUCAGUGAGAGAAGACCA
Molecule: transfer RNA, 28 nt
Filed under: Ulota bruchii
Lineage: Eukaryota; Viridiplantae; Streptophyta; Bryopsida; Orthotrichales; Orthotrichaceae
Description: partial tRNA-Phe
Source: RNAcentral